This is a long non-coding RNA of Hibiscus syriacus, 136 nucleotides long. RefSeq lists it as uncharacterized. The transcript is spliced from 3 exons. The record is from RefSeq and is a predicted model, not a curated record. Lineage: Eukaryota; Viridiplantae; Streptophyta; Magnoliopsida; Malvales; Malvaceae.
CUUCAGGCAAGUUGUAUACUUGAAGCAUUUGGGAAUGACAACGCUAGCAGAUUUGGGAAACUUGUGGAAAUUAAUUUUACUGAACUGGGGGAGAUAUCUGGUGCGAAGAUUCAAACUUUUCUUCUGGAAAAGGUGA